UGGGGAAUAUUGCACAAUGGGGGAAACCCUGAUGCAGCAACGCCGCGUGAAUGAUGAAGGCCUUCGGGUCGUAAAGUUCUUUGAUUGGGGACGAUAAUGACGGUACCCAAAAAACAAGCCACGGCUAACUACGUGCCAGCAGCCGCGGUAAUACGUAGGUGGCGAGCGUUGUCCGGAUUUACUGGGCGUAAAGGAUGCGUAGGUGGAAAUUUAAGUGGGAUGUGAAAUCCCCGGGCUCAACCCGGGAACUGCAUUCCAAACUGGAUUUCUAGAGUGCAGGAGAGGAAAGCGGAAUUCCUAGUGUAGCGGUGAAAUGCGUAGAUAUUAGGAAGAACACCAGUGGCGAAGGCGGCUUUCUGGACUGUAACUGACACUGAGGCAUGAAAGCGUGGGGAGCAAACAGG
Molecule: ribosomal RNA, 404 nt
Filed under: uncultured prokaryote
Also listed under: 1 other name
Description: bacterial SSU rRNA
Rfam family: Bacterial small subunit ribosomal RNA
Source: RNAcentral